RNAcentral lists this long non-coding RNA (325 nucleotides) under Anser brachyrhynchus (Pink-footed goose). RNAcentral's name for it is "lncRNA (ENSABRG00000008203.1)". Lineage: Eukaryota; Metazoa; Chordata; Aves; Anseriformes; Anatidae. The record is from RNAcentral.
GCGCUUGUCACUUGUCAGUCCUCAUGCCUCCCGUGCAGGUAUGCUCUCACAGUGGAACAAACUGAGUGUGAACCCGCCUUUUGCCCACAUGGUGAAGGUGGUGGUGCACACCUCUUCUCGUGCUGCCUGGAGUGGACAGCGGAGGAAGAGCCAAGGUUUGUGCCAAUGAGUUACUUGAGCAAAAGCUCUGGGGUUCAUUUUUUCUCAAAGUUUGGAGGUGUGACAUUUUGUGUUUGUGGCUCGGUUGGUUGGUUGGUUGGUUUGGUUUGUUCAUUUGUUUUUUGGGAAAAAAAAAAAAAGACUAUCUUCAUGUAGGAAAGCUAAU